UGUUCGGACUUUUGUUUCAACUCUUCAGUCUUUUCAAAUUGAAAGGAUACCAAGCAGAUGCUUUAUCAAAAUUCCUUUUCUCAUUUGGGAUGAUUCGACUCUUCUUUACAUCCAAUGCAGUAGCGGUACACUGAUCACAAUAAAAAAUCUCUACUUUGACCUCGGCCGAAGGCAAGGAGUGUUUGGCCAAAAGACGGCGUUGGAUCGACUCAACAGAAUCCCCCCUAUUACCUCAUCCGGAUAGGGGACCACUGGGAGGGUCCGAUUCGAUGGACCAGCUUCCUCCACCCCGGAGCCAUGAGGAGUUACUUACCCCUUUACACUCACGGGAUAGAUAG
This 338-nucleotide long non-coding RNA is filed under the name Nicotiana benthamiana. Its description in RNAcentral is "long non-coding RNA (NBEN_LNC008830)". The record is from RNAcentral. Lineage: Eukaryota; Viridiplantae; Streptophyta; Magnoliopsida; Solanales; Solanaceae.